Molecule: long non-coding RNA, 700 nt
Filed under: Bos taurus (domestic cattle)
Lineage: Eukaryota; Metazoa; Chordata; Mammalia; Artiodactyla; Bovidae
Description: long non-coding RNA NONBTAT006708
Source: RNAcentral
UUUCACUUUGUUUCACCCUUUUCUGAAUCAGGAACUUAGAGCAUUUGUUUUCCUUCCAAACACUGUGCUCUGUUUCACCAUUCAACUGUUUUUUCAUCUGUGCUAUUGGAUUGUUAAUAAGUUUUCUAUUGGAUUAUGUUGUACCUUUAGUUUUUAACAUUUUAAGCCAUUACCAUUUUACUGAAGUAUAUAAAGGCUGAAAUCUUAGUAGAUAAGUUAUUGCUUAGUUUUGCAUCAUUAACUUUUUUUAUGUCUAUUACUACUCUACAACUUUCUUCAUAAAUAUGAUUAAUCUUUUGUGAUAUAAUUCAUUUCUCUGUUCAGAAUCCUUCUUUGCUUAUGGCAGGAAUCCUUCUGUAAUGCCACCCUACUUUUCUAUAUCAGUCCCUUUUUUUCCAGCAUAAAGCCUUUUUUCGUGUCUUCUUGGUCAUACUUAUUUACUAAACGUGUUUGUUCUCAGUGCCAAAAUUUUGACUUUAUCAUUUUUUCCUGACUGAAAUCCCUUUUUCUUUCCUUCUCUCUGUUCAGAUUUAAUCAUUUCUUCAGAGGUGUAUCAAGUCAUAGCUGUUCAACAAAAUCUUCAGUGAAAUACUUGCUGUUCAGAUCUUCCUGCAUCUUUACACUUUCAUUGCAGUUACUUUUUAUCACUAAUUUUGUACUAAAUGAAUUCUACCUUGUAUUUUUCUUAAUUAUUAUGUUU